CAGUAGCCGCGGUAAUGCGAAGGGGGCUAGCGUUGCUCGGAAUGACCGGGCGUAAAGGGCGCGUAGGCGGAUGGCACAGUCAGAUGUGAAAUUCCCGGGCUUAACCUGGGGGCUGCAUUUGAUACGUGUUGUCUAGAGUGAGGAAGAGGGUUGUGGAAUUCCCAGUGUAGAGGUGAAAUUCGUAGAUAUUGGGAAGAACACCGGUGGCGAAGGCGGCAACCUGGUCCUUGACUGACGCUGAGGAGCGAAAGCGUGGGGAGCGAACAGGAUUAGAUACCCCAGUAGUCCCUGUCUCUUAUAC
RNAcentral lists this ribosomal RNA (301 nucleotides) under uncultured bacterium. RNAcentral describes it as "partial 16S ribosomal RNA". It matches the Rfam family "Bacterial small subunit ribosomal RNA", at positions 509 to 807 of the family's 1533-position model. The record is from RNAcentral.